CAAAUGGAAAAGGUGGUUGUGGAGCCUAGGUAUCAUCCAGAGUGGCCUCCUCCCAGACAUGGCAUUCAGGUCCUCUUGUUCACAUGACCAUGGGACUAAAUCUACCCAAUGUGAUCAGCAGAUGCUAUUGGGUGAGACUCAUGGGAAAACUCCUCAAGAAGGAGGAUUCACUCAUCACCACGUACAUUUUUCUUUUGCCUCUUCUUUCCAUUUGUAACCUGGACUCGAUGGCUAGUGCUCCAGCAGCCAUCUGGAUGACCAUGAGGCCACCGCAAGGCUGGAAAUCUCAGUGCUGAGGAUGGUGACAAAAAGGAGUUGAACGUUGAGUCAAUCGGAGCUCCUAAGUCCUCUGCAGUCAAGACAUGUGUGUUUCAUUUUCCCAAAUCCUUGCUACAGCAAGCAAAGUGUGAGUCAAGAACAAAUGCUGCCAUUGGUACAAUUAUUGUUAAACUCUAAUAAAUCCCGUGCAUUGUC
Long non-coding RNA from Cavia porcellus (domestic guinea pig), 474 nucleotides. RefSeq lists it as uncharacterized. The transcript has 3 exons. The record is from RefSeq and is a predicted model, not a curated record. NCBI's taxonomy places the organism in Eukaryota, Metazoa, Chordata, Mammalia, Rodentia, Caviidae.